This 440-nucleotide ribosomal RNA is filed under the name uncultured bacterium. RNAcentral describes it as "partial 16S ribosomal RNA". It matches the Rfam family "Bacterial small subunit ribosomal RNA", at positions 338 to 795 of the family's 1533-position model. The record is from RNAcentral.
UCUACGGGAGGCUGCAGUGAGGGAUAUUGGUCAAUGGGCGAGAGCCUGAACCAGCAACGCCGCGUGAGGGAAGACGGCUUUCGGAUUGUUAACCUCUGUUCUCUGUGAAGUUGAUGACGGUAGCAGAGGAGGAUUCUCCGGCUAACUAGGUGCCAGCAGCCGAGGUAAUACGUCGGGAGCAAGCGUUAUCCGGAUUUACUGGGUGUAAAGGGUGCGUAGGCGGGUUUGUAAGUCAGAAGUGAAAUCCAUGGGCUUAACCCAUGAACUGCUAUUGAAACUGCAAAGCUUGAGUGGAGUAGAGGUAGGCGGAAUUCGCGGUGUAGCGGUGAAAUGCGUAGAGAUCGGGAGGAACACCGGUGGCGAAGGCAGCCUGCUGGGCUGUAACUGACGCUGAGGCACGAAAGCGUGGGUAGCAAACAGGAUUAGAUACCCUUGUAGUC